Setaria italica (foxtail millet) is the source of this 4478-nucleotide RNA transcript. It is a transcript of the gene named pentatricopeptide repeat-containing protein At1g03100, mitochondrial, with no coding region annotated. The transcript has 5 exons. The record is from RefSeq and is a predicted model, not a curated record. Lineage: Eukaryota; Viridiplantae; Streptophyta; Magnoliopsida; Poales; Poaceae.
AGUAAUCCACACCCUGCUUGUUUGGAGAGGAGGGAGGCCCAACUGGCAACGCAGCAGCAGCAGCAGCAUCUCCUUCCUUCCAUCGGCGGUCGGCGCCUCGGCCGCACGAGGCCGCCGCCGCCGCCAGCAGGGGAGGCGAGGGGUUCUCCGCGCCGCUGGUGGCUGACACACCCUGCCGUAGGAGCUGCUCCACCUCCGCGGUCCGCUAGGCGCCACUCCACCCGCCCAUUCUCCACUCUCCAGGCUCUGCUCGAGGCUGCGCCGCCCGACAUCGACGACGCCCUCACGCCCGACGCCCGAGCGGGAGCAGCCGAGCCUAGUGCCAGCGUGGCUGCGUAUUUCUGCGGCCGCCCGACGCCACGACCGGCCGGCGCCGUGACGGGCGACGCCGGCACUCCACGACGGCGGACGGCCACAGCUACACAGGAGCCAUCCCCAAUCGGCAAAUUCCCUCACGGCGACUGGUAAAUGCUUCGUGCUGGAAGAAUUUGUUCAGGAUCUUAUGCACGCCAUGCUGUAUCUUCAUUACUGUUGGGUCCACGAUGUUUGUUUGCUCUCGAAAGUCCACACUGCUUGGACUGCAAGUGUCAUGGGAUUAACCAAACAGGAGAUAACAAUACUAAAUUCUUGAGUCCGCAGCUAAAUGUAGGCAGUCAUGGCACUUUCUUUUCCACUAUUACUGAAACAAUUCUAGUCCAAGCUCGUGAUCCAUCUCAGCUAUCACUGGAGAUAGAGAAUGCAAUCGAUGAGCGGAGAUUUGAUGAUGCAUGGAGGGCUUAUGAGAAGCAUGUUCACAUGGAUGGACUUCCAAGAAAGUCCGUUUUGAGCAAACUCAUCACUGGCUUGGCAGAGACCUGUGAUGCUCACUGGCUUAACCAGUCCUACAAUGUGGUCAGUCAUGCAUUUGAAGAGAAGCAUGAAUUGUUGGGUAAGGAGCCCCUGAUUUACCUAUCUCUCACCCUUGCACGCUGUGCUCUGCCUAAUCUUGCUAUAAAUGUUGUGAGGAAGUUGGUAAAGAUGGAGGCAUACCCACCUGUUUCAGCUUGGUCAGCAAUUGUAGCACAUAUGUGUCAAACCAACACUGGUGCAUUUCUUGCUGCAGACCUUGUUAUGGAGCUUGGUUACCUUUUCCAGAAUAAUAGAGUUGAUCCACGGAAGAAGAGCAACCGCCCUUUGCUAUCAAUGAAACCCAAUUCAUUUACAUUCAAUAUUGUUCUGACUGCAGCUCUCCUGUUUGGUACUACAAGAAAAGCGGAGCAGCUUCUCGAACUAAUGCCUAGGAUAGGGGUGAAGCCUGAAGUCAACUUGUUGAUUGUUAUGGCCCGCAUAUAUGAAAGGAAUGGGCACAGAGAUGAGAUUCAGAAGUUAAAGAGGCAUGUUGAUGAGGCCUAUGGUCUUAGCGAAUCAGAGUUCAGGCAGUUUUAUGAUUGUCUGCUCUCCUGUCAUUUGAAAUUUGGGGAUUUGGAUUCUGCAGUUGAUAUGGUGUUGGAUAUGCUAAGAAAAGGCAAGAAUGCAAAGCGGUCAUUGGAAGCAGCCAAAGCAGUUCUUGAAGCUGUUGAAAAUAGGAGACUUUAUUUCCCUUAUGAGAAGACUGAGGCUGAAAAUCCAUGCUCUUCAGAGAGACCUAUAUCUAAUAGCCAAAUGCUAAGUUAUGUUUCGUUCUUCAAAGACAAUAGCUUUGCAAGACUUGAAUUGGAGGCACGAGAAUUACUCGAGCUGUUAUCGGAUAAGCUGCAGGAACAGGUUGGACUGGUGAAAUCUGAACAUGGUAUCCUCCACCCAACUGAAACAAUGUACGCCAAGCUUGUUAAAGCUUUUCUGGAAGCAGAUAAGAUCAGUGCAUUGGCUUCGUUUCUUGUGAAAGCAAGCAAAGAAGAUUCUCCUGUGUCUGUUGAAAGGUCCUUUGUUGUUCAAGUGAUAAAUGCGUGCAUUUGUCUUGGGUUAUUAGAGCAAGCGCAUGAUCUUCUGGAUGAAAUGAGAUUCUCUGGGAUUAGAGUUGGUUCAUCCAUCUAUUCAUCACUCCUAAAAGCCUAUUGCAAAGAGGGCCAACAUGAAGAUGACAUAACUGCACUUUUGAAGGAUGCUCAACAAGCAGGCAUUCAGCUUGACGCAAGCUGCUAUGAGGAUUUGAUACAAUCUAGGGCGAGUCACAGUAACACCCCAGGUGCUCUCCAUCUUUUUAAAGAAUUGAAGAAUUCAAAUGUUUUGAAAUCUGGUCACAAGGAAUUUCAGACUUUAGUGCAAGGCUCUGAUGAAAAUGAAGCUGUUUUGACGACCAGGCUAGUGGAGGAAGUAAGAAGUGGUCAUAUGGUUGAUCAUGCUGUUCAUGACUGGAAUAAUGUCAUCCAUUUCUUCUGCAAGAAGAGAUUGAUGCAUGAUGCUCACAGUGCACUGAACAAGAUGCGAGCUUCUGGCCAUGUGCCAAAUGCACAAACUUUUCAUUCUUUAAUCACUGCUUAUGCUGCCAUUGGUGGCAAAUAUGUGGAGGUGACAGAUUUGUGGGGUGAAAUGAAAGUUCUGGCUGGUUCAAGCUCUAUGAAGUUUGAUCAGGAGCUCUUGGACUCUCUGUUGUAUUGCUUUGUGAGAGGUGGUUUCUUCCUUCGAGCCAUGGAAGUUAUAGAGAUGAUGGAGAAAAGCGAUAUGUUUAUAGACAAAUACAAGUACAAGUCCUUGUGGCUUAAAUAUCACAGGACAUUGUACAAAGGUAAGGCUCCCAAGGUGCAAACAGAAGCACAGCUAAAAAGGAGAGAAGCAGCAAUACAUUUCAAGAAAUGGAUUGGGUUGACAUGAGAGCAUAAGAUUCAACUCAUACUCUAUGAUAUUUGAUCAGGAGCUCUUUUAUCAUCUGCUAUGUGGAUAGAUCUUUACAAAUUCCUGAAAAUCAUAAUCAUAGAGUUCAUUAGAAGGCACAUAUAUCAAGUCUACUUUGCUUCAAACAGAAGUACCGAAGUUGUAAUGGGCUAAUGGCUGAAACAAUAACUUCCUCUAUGUGGUGCAAGGGUGCUUGUUGAUAAAGAUGGUAGUUUGGUACAAGGGGUUGAUUGAUAACAAAGUGCACUGGAUGAGGCAUCUGAUUCUAGCUCCGAACCUAACCCCUCCUCCAAGGAACAGAAUGGUUGAGUGCACUAAGGAUGUCUUCUUAUGUGCUCUAAGCACAAAUUUCCUGUUGGACGCUAAUUAAGCAGCUAUGCACUAAGGAUGCCUUUGGAUACUCCAUAAGGAAAAUUAACAGGAAGGGUGUCCACCUUGUCUUUGGUUCAAUCCAAAAGAUAUUGAUGUGUCCGCUGUGUUAUGUUGCCUCUCAUGGAGUGGCGUGAAUGUUCGCUGGCUACACGUACCAACUGAUUGAAGUUGUACAGCUAAAUUUGGUUUUUGAUUUGUGCGUAUGGAGCUGAGGAACACAUACGCACAUUGUUUUUUUUUUAUAAGGCAUACUCACAUUGUUUGAACCAGAGCUGGAGAGUAGAAAUCCACUUCUGCAGGACUUAAAUCUUCACAUGGAAGUACCUUUGUACUUGGAGAAAAGUAUUAGAUUUGAGCAGCAGAACUGGAGAGAUUUAGAGCAUGUGGGGAUGAAUCCUCAACUCCUCCUGAGCGUUCUCGUUAAUUUCUCCAUAUAUCUGGACCGUAUGUAAUUAGACAAAAUGAAUGAAGAGGCCGGUCCAGAGACGAUGCUGCAUGCAUGUCAACUAUAGCAAACAAGUACAAGCUAGGACUCUCCUGGCGACAGUGGCUGCUGCCUGUGGGCUAGGGCUCUUCUGCCGCAUGCUCUGGAAGGUGAUCAACAAGACAUCGCGUGCCUCGGUAUUCGGGCUCCAUCAGACGGGUAGACGAUGAUAGCCACUUUGCUCGUCGAUCAGUUCCCCUCCCAAUCGUGCAUGAUGCGUGCUAAAGCACGCCGGGGGUGUGGUGCUUCGGAAAGAGCAGCAGCAGCAGCAGCCAUAGGCACCCGGCCGGCCUGCGUGCAGUGCAUGAGCAUGACGACCUGAGGCACACUCCCCAAUCAUGAGGCCAAGGACACAAGCAAUGAACCCCCACAACAAGGGCAUGCAAAGAUGUGGGCAUGUGCCACAUCAUUCUGCACCAUGCAUGCCACUGCAUAUGCAUAUAAUUGGCCAUCAGAACUGAGACUGCUUAAUUUGCAGAUUAAGCUUCACUGGUAUGCUUUAGGCUGGUUGAUGUUGUGCCAAGGAUGGCUACUAGCUUCUGGAGUUGUAUAGGAGCUAUAUUUGGCGACGGCGAUGGUGAUGAUCCAUCCACGGAUGGAUCGAGGGUGAUGGCGAAAGGAUCAAGGGUCAUUUUGCUUUACUCCAGUCACUUCCAUGCCCAAAGGAAAGGAUCUUAGCUUGGCCCCCAUAUGCAAGCACGCCAUGCAGUGCACCGACCUAUCACACGCUUUUAUCGUCAACACACUCUGUCGACGUACACUAGCGGCGGGUGUGCCGCUUGAUUGCAAGGCUUUUGAAACUUUUGGCCCA